Lingula anatina is the source of this 240-nucleotide long non-coding RNA. NCBI's taxonomy places the organism in Eukaryota, Metazoa, Brachiopoda, Lingulata, Lingulida, Lingulidae. The record is from RefSeq and is a predicted model, not a curated record.
AGCAUCACCAGGACUUUUGCCUCUGGUCGUACCGAGAGGUUAAUUAUGCAGUCAUUGAAGGACCUGGGGUUUCCUAGUGGCAAGAUUGAUGAAAUAGAAACAUCCCAGUUUACCUUUGAAAAAUUCUAUGAGCUUUAUCAUAAGAUCUGCCCUAGGACAGAUAUCGAGGAGUUAUUCAAAGAAGUUUCAAAAGGAGGUGAUCAUCUGACCAUGAUACAACUGAUAGAAUUUCUUAAUGAG